RNAcentral lists this ribosomal RNA (483 nucleotides) under uncultured bacterium. RNAcentral describes it as "partial 16S ribosomal RNA". It matches the Rfam family "Bacterial small subunit ribosomal RNA", at positions 46 to 523 of the family's 1533-position model. The record is from RNAcentral.
GCUUAACACAUGCAAGUCGAGCGAGAAUCGUUUUGCUGAAGGCUUCGGUCUGACGCAGAAUGAGGAAAGCGGCGAACGGGUGAGUAACGCGUGGGCAACCUGGCCUUAAGAAAAGGAUAGCCCCCGGAAACGGGGAGUAAUACUUUAUGAGAAUAGAAAAGGGCAUCCUAUUUCUAUUCAAAGCGCAAGCGCUUAAGGAUGGGCCCGCGUAUCAUUAGCUAGUUGGUGGGAUAACAGCCCACCAAGGCAACGAUGAUUAGCCGGUCUGAGAGGGCGAACGGCCACAUUGGAACUGAGAGACGGUCCAAACUCCUACGGGAGGCAGCAGUGGGGAAUAUUGCGCAAUGGAGAAGAACUCUGACGCAGCAAUACCGCGUGAGCGAAGAAGGUCUUCGGAUCGUAAAGCUCUGUUAUCAGGGAAGAAGAAAAUGACGGUACCUGAUGAGCAAGUCCCGGCUAACUACGUGCCAGCCGCCGCAGUAG